RNAcentral lists this ribosomal RNA (506 nucleotides) under uncultured bacterium. Its description in RNAcentral is "partial 16S ribosomal RNA". It matches the Rfam family "Bacterial small subunit ribosomal RNA", at positions 29 to 523 of the family's 1533-position model. The record is from RNAcentral.
AGUGAACGCUGGCGGUAGGCCUAACACAUGCAAGUCGAACGGCAGCACAGGAGAGCUUGCUCUCUGGGUGGCGAGUGGCGGACGGGUGAGGAAUACAUCGGAAUCUACUCUGUCGUGGGGGAUAACGUAGGGAAAUUUACGCUAAUACCGCAUACGACCUACGGGUGAAAGCAGGGGACCUUCGGGCCUUGCGCGAUUGAAUGAGCCGAUGUCGGAUUAGCGAGUUGGCGGGGUAAAGGCCCACCAAGGCGACGAUCCGUAGCUGGUCUGAGAGGAUGAUCAGCCACACUGGAACUGAGACACGGUCCAGACUCCUACGGGAGGCAGCAGUGGGGAAUAUUGGACAAUGGGCGCAAGCCUGAUCCAGCCAUACCGCGUGGGUGAAGAAGGCCUUCGGGUUGUAAAGCCCUUUUGUUGGGAAAGAAAUCCAGCUGGCUAAUACCCGGUUGGGAUGACGGUACCCAAAGAAUAAGCACCGGCUAACUUCGUGCCAGCCGCCGCGGUAA